GACGAACGCUGACGGCGUGCUUAGCACAUGCAAGUCGAACGGAAAGGCCCUGCUUUUGUGGGGUGCUCGAGUGGCGAACGGGUGAGUAACACGUGAGUAACCUGCCCUUGACUUUGGGAUAACUUCAGGAAACUGGGGCUAAUACCGGAUAGGAGCUCCUGCUGCAUGGUGGGGGUUGGAAAGUUUCGGCGGUUGGGGAUGGACUCGCGGCUUAUCAGCUUGUUGGUGGGGUAGUGGCUUACCAAGGCUUUGACGGGUAGCCGGCCUGAGAGGGUGACCGGCCACAUUGGGACUGAGAUACGGCCCAGACUCCUACGGGAGGCAGCAGUGGGGAAUAUUGCACAAUGGGCGGAAGCCUGAUGCAGCAACGCCGCGUGCGGGAUGACGGCCUUCGGGUUGUAAACCGCUUUCGCCUGUGACGAAGCGUGAGUGACGGUAAUGGGUAAAGAAGCACCGGCUAACUACGUG
Molecule: ribosomal RNA, 468 nt
Filed under: uncultured bacterium
Lineage: Bacteria
Description: partial 16S ribosomal RNA
Rfam family: Bacterial small subunit ribosomal RNA
Source: RNAcentral